This 497-nucleotide ribosomal RNA is filed under the name uncultured bacterium. RNAcentral describes it as "partial 16S ribosomal RNA". It matches the Rfam family "Bacterial small subunit ribosomal RNA", at positions 899 to 1397 of the family's 1533-position model. The record is from RNAcentral.
ACUCAAAUGAAUUGACGGGGGCCCGCACAAGCGGCGGAGCAUGCGGAUUAAUUCGAUGCAACGCGAAGAACCUUACCUGGGUUUGACAUGGCCGCAAAACUGUCAGAGAUGGCAGGUCCUUCGGGGGCGGUCACAGGUGGUGCAUGGCUGUCGUCAGCUCGUGUCGUGAGAUGUUGGGUUAAGUCCCGCAACGAGCGCAACCCUCGUCCCAUGUUGCCAGCACGUUAUGGUGGGGACUCAUGGGAGACUGCCGGGGUCAACUCGGAGGAAGGUGGGGAUGACGUCAAGUCAUCAUGCCCCUUAUGUCCAGGGCUUCACGCAUGCUACAAUGGCCGGUACAAACCGCUGCGAAACCGUAAGGUUGAGCGAAUCGGAAAAAGCCGGUCUCAGUUCGGAUCGGGGUCUGCAACUCGACCCCGUGAAGUCGGAGUCGCUAGUAAUCGCAGAUCAGCAACGCUGCGGUGAAUACGUUCCCGGGCCUUGUACACACCGCCCGU